This 253-nucleotide ribosomal RNA is filed under the name uncultured bacterium. RNAcentral's name for it is "partial 16S ribosomal RNA". It matches the Rfam family "Bacterial small subunit ribosomal RNA", at positions 524 to 776 of the family's 1533-position model. The record is from RNAcentral.
UACGUAGGGUGCAAGCGUUGUCCGGAAUUAUUGGGCGUAAAGGGCUCGUAGGCGGUUUGUCGCGUCGGGAGUGAAAACCUUGGGCUUAACUCAGGGCUUGCUUUCGAUACGGGCAGACUAGAGGUAUGCAGGGGAGAACGGAAUUCCUGGUGUAGCGGCGAAAUGCGCAGAUAUCAGGAGGAACACCGGUGGCGAAGGCGGUUCUCUGGGCAUGAUCUGACGCUGAGGAGCGAAAGUGUGGGGAGCGAACAGG